GUGGGGAAUAUUGGACAAUGGGCGCAAGCCUGAUCCAGCCAUGCCGCGUGAGUGAUGAAGGCCUUAGGGUUGUAAAGCUCUUUCACCGAUGAAGAUAAUGACGGUAGUCGGAGAAGAAGCCCCGGCUAACUUCGUGCCAGCAGCCGCGGUAAUACGAAGGGGGCUAGCGUUGUUCGGAUUUACUGGGCGUAAAGCGCACGUAGGCGGUUUGUUAAGUCAGAGGUGAAAUCCCGGAGCUCAACUCCGGAACUGCCUUUGAUACUGGCAAGCUAGAGUCCGGAAGAGGUAAGUGGAACUCCUAGUGUAGAGGUGGAAUUCGUAGAUAUUAGGAAGAACACCAGUGGCGAAGGCGGCUUACUGGUCCGGAACUGACGCUGAGGUGCGAAAGCGUGGGGAGCAAACAGGAUUAGAAACCCUAGUAGUCC
This 425-nucleotide ribosomal RNA is filed under the name uncultured bacterium. RNAcentral's name for it is "partial 16S ribosomal RNA". It matches the Rfam family "Bacterial small subunit ribosomal RNA", at positions 354 to 796 of the family's 1533-position model. The record is from RNAcentral.